This 1062-nucleotide long non-coding RNA is filed under the name Equus caballus (horse). Its description in RNAcentral is "lncRNA (ENSECAG00000048952.1)". Lineage: Eukaryota; Metazoa; Chordata; Mammalia; Perissodactyla; Equidae. The record is from RNAcentral.
CAGACUUUCAUAUUUUUCCAUCACUGUUAGGAAUUAUUUCUUUUAAAAUACAUUUUCAGAUGUGUCAAUGAAUUUUGGGAUGGAAGAAGAGAGAGAUGCAAGUGCUGUGUCCUUCUACUUAAAGCAGAAGUUUCAAGAGUUUAUUUAACCUUCUUAACAAAAGGCAAAUCUUGGUAAAGUGCAUUGACGAUGGGGGCCACCAAGCAGCAUCAGGACACCCAAGGAGGCCAGGAUGUCCAGCAGGAGGCUGUGCGAACCCAGCCGAUACAUGUGCAGAAAAGCAGCAGUACCUAGACUGCACUUGUAAUUAUUGUGUGAUGAAUGAGACACCUCGUGGGGAUCCCUCCGAAUUUUUGUGAGGGGCUUCAGAAAGUGGACUUCACAGGAGACUGAGAUCAAACUCCAAGAAAUAAGGCAGCCAGCUUCUCCUCAAGACGGUAAACAGCCGGAAUCGGAGGGUUUCAGAGACUGGUGAUCUUGCCUUUUGAGCCACAGACACAAAAGGAAAAGAAAGAGCUGAAUUCAAAAGCAUUCCCCUGAAUGUGCUGCUCUCUUAAAACCCGAUCUUUUCCUCCUGCAGCCUCAUCUGCUCAUCAGCCCACGACAUUCCCUCAUUUCUGUGGAUCCUCAACAGCCAAGCUGAGUUGGUUAUCUUUGUGUUAGGGUCACAGCAUGUUUCCCAGAUUAGAGUUAUCUAUAAUUUACCUCUUACCAUGCCUGAAAUAGCACCUCUAGGCAAUUUCUCCUUUGUUCUCUGCCUCAAUGUCUGCACACAGGCUGUCCACUCUGCCUUGAGCUCUUGAAUACCCACCCCACAACACUGCCAGCCAUCCCCCAGGGAUCUCCUGGCUUCUGCAAAAUCCCGCCUCUUAGUUAAGUUCUGCGUAGCCUUCAGAUCUCAACCAACUUAUUAGGAAAGUUGGGUCUGCUUGUUAUAGUCUAAAAACAAAAACUAUACAUGUGUUUUCUUCAAAGCACUUGUUGCAGAUUCCAAUUAUGUGUGUGUGUGUGUGGUUAUUUGAUAAACAUCUAUCUUCUCCACGGCACCAUCAGCUACAGAAC